Papio anubis (olive baboon) is the source of this 1722-nucleotide long non-coding RNA. The record is from Ensembl. Lineage: Eukaryota; Metazoa; Chordata; Mammalia; Primates; Cercopithecidae.
AUGCAUGGGACUGUCCUCCUGGUGGAGGGCUGGGGGCCUGGGGUGCUACAUUCACCCCUGCACCGCCUAGGUGCAACAGUGUCUGUGGGUGGGCUGUACCAGAAGGGAGGCAAGGGAGAGUGCCCGGGCUUGGACCUCCCCUCAGAACCCCCGCAGGGGCACAAAAGGAGCUUCCCUGGCCUGCAGCACCCCACCCCCACCCCAAGCUGCAUAGCAAGAGCACUGCGGAGCCACACUACAUCCUGCCACCCCCUCCUCCAUCCCACAGCGUCCCCGCCCCCCAUCACUGCAGCACAGAGCCCCUAUUCCCCUCAGCAGAGGCCCGUACACACACCCCGGAGCAGGGAAACGGAGGCAGAUUCUCCCAGAAGGGGUGACCCUGUGGGGGCUGGGCCUAUUGUUGCCCCCUCCCCUCCAAGCCAGACUGUUAGGUACCCCCACCUGGUCUGCUCCGCAUCCCAGGCUGGGCAGCUAGGCCUAGCGAGGUGGCUGCAGCAGCCUGGCUGUGCCAGCCCCUCCCCCAGCGCCGCGGCUGCCUCUGCAGCAGGCGGAAGGGCGCAGGGGCUUUAUCCCUCAGAGGCCGGCUGGGCACCCCGGGGUGGGGGUGCGGGGCGGCCUGGCCAUUUGGGGGGAUGGAUCUGCAGCCCUCCCCUGCGACAGGGGACGGCCCCUUCCCGGGUGUCCCACGCCAGAGGCCGUCGCGUCCCUCCCACGACCGAGGCUCCACACCUCCCGGACCGGCUCCGGGCCAGGGUCCGCCUGCUCCGGUUCUGGCCCCCGCGGGGGUGCCGUUCGGGACGUCGGGGGCUCGCGCAGAUCCGCGCUGGAUCUCAGGUGGCCCUGGUGGGUCCCGGAUUGUUGUCCCCCCCGUUGCACACCCAAAGAAGGAGCUGCGUGGAGAAGGACGGCAACGCGGCGGGCGGGCGGGCGUGGGCUGGGCCCGGGUCCGCCGAGCGCUGCGGAAGGCGCGGAAGGGGCCUCCCUGUCCCGGGCGUCCUGGCCGGCCGGGGCCGCUCACUCCGGGGCCGCCUCCUCCUCCCGGGCGCCCGCCGGGUGCCGCUGCCCCAGCGCCCCCGACGCUGCGCCCUCAGCCCCCCGGCCCGGGCCGGUGAACCCAGUCCCCGGCGCCUGCCCCGGCCCCCGCCCCGCCGGCGCCUCCGCUCACCUCGCUCGCGCUCGCCACUGGGGCGGGACCGGGCAGCUCUUCGGCGGCCCGGCGAGGGAGCCAGCCGGAGCAGGGGCCGAGGAGCGCGCGGGCCACGUCGCCGUCACCGCCGUCGCCGCCGCCAACGCCGCGAGGCGCUCGCUCGACCGGGGCGCGCCGCACUGCGGGCGAGCGCACGCGCUCGCGGCCGCAUCCCAGCCCGCGGCUCGGCAGGCGCAGCCAGCAGUUCCAGCGCAGCUCGGAGCUCAGGCUCAGGCUCGGGCGUCCGGCGUCCGGCGGGGCGGUGUGGGGGGAGCCGGCUCGGCCGCCGCGCUCGGCCGCGAGUGACAGGCCCGGGGCGGAGGGCGGGGCCGCCGGCGGGGAUGAGGUCAUGCCGAGCGGAAAAAGCCCCUGACGUCACCUGCAGCCAAUCAGCUCGCGCGGCUCGGGGGCAGGUGACGUCAGCGGAGCCCGGGCUCGGGGUGAAGCCGAGGCGGUGGCCGCGGGGGGCGGGGUGCAGGGUGCGGGUGGGUCGCGCUGCCGCCGCCUUCCGUCCUCACCCCGGGACCGGCUCUUAA